CCGCUCACGGAUGACGACAUGGUGUUGUAUAUCCUUGCCGGCCUCGACUUUGACUACAUGUCCUUUGUCUCCUCCAUCUGCGCCAGGACCAUCCCCAUCAAGCCCAACGAGCUAUACGCCCAACUCAUCAGCUUCGAGA
Molecule: small nucleolar RNA, 139 nt
Filed under: Triticum aestivum (bread wheat)
Lineage: Eukaryota; Viridiplantae; Streptophyta; Magnoliopsida; Poales; Poaceae
Also listed under: 1 other name
Description: Small nucleolar RNA Z247
Rfam family: Small nucleolar RNA Z247
About the family: Z247 is a member of the C/D class of snoRNA which contain the C (UGAUGA) and D (CUGA) box motifs. Most of the members of the box C/D family function in directing site-specific 2'-O-methylation of substrate RNAs.
Source: Rfam by way of RNAcentral